AUUGAACGCUGGCGGCAGGCCUAACACAUGCAAGUCGAACGGUAACAGGAAGAAGCUUGCUUCUUUGCUGACGAGUGGCGGACGGGUGAGUAAUGUCUGGGAAACUGCCUGAUGGAGGGGGAUAACUACUGGAAACGGUAGCUAAUACCGCAUAACGUCGCAAGACCAAAGAGGGGGACCUUCGGGCCUCUUGCCAUCGGAUGUGCCCAGAUGGGAUUAGCUAGUAGGUGGGGUAACGGCUCACCUAGGCGACGAUCCCUAGCUGGUGUGAGAGGAUGACCAGCCACACUGGAACUGAGACACGGUCCAGACUCCUACGGGAGGCAGCAGUGGGGAAUAUUGCACAAUGGGCGCAAGCCUGAUACAGCCAUGCCGCGUGUAUGAAGAAGGCCUUCGGGUUGUAAAGUACUUUCAGCGGGGAGGAAGGGAGUAAAGUUAAUACCUUUGCUCAUUGACGUUACCCGCAGAAGAAGCACCGGCUAACUCCGUG
This 490-nucleotide ribosomal RNA is filed under the name uncultured bacterium. RNAcentral describes it as "partial 16S ribosomal RNA". It matches the Rfam family "Bacterial small subunit ribosomal RNA", at positions 30 to 507 of the family's 1533-position model. The record is from RNAcentral.